Molecule: ribosomal RNA, 797 nt
Filed under: uncultured organism
Description: bacterial SSU rRNA
Rfam family: Bacterial small subunit ribosomal RNA
Source: RNAcentral
GUAAUACGUAGGUGGCAAGCGUUGUCCGGAAUUACUGGGUGUAAAGGGCGAGUAGGUGGAUCACUAAGUCAGAGGUGAAAACCCAUGGCUAAACUGUGGGAUAGCAACUGAAACUAGAGAUCCUGAGUACUGGAGAGGGAAGCGGAAUUCCUAGUGUAGCGGUGAAAUGCGUAGAUAUUAGGAGGAACACCAGUGGCGAAGGCGGCUUCCUGGACAGAGACUGACACUGAGGCGCGAAAGCGUGGGGAGCGAACAGGAUUAGAUACCCUGGUAGUCCACGCUGUAAACGAUGGAUACUAGGUGUAGGUGGUAAGAAACCAUCUGUGCCGGAGUAAACACAAUAAGUAUCCCACCUGGGGAGUACAGCCGCAAGGUUGAAACUCAAAGGAAUUGACGGGGGCCCGCACAAGCAGUGGAGUAUGUGGCUUAAUUCGAAGCAACGCGAAGAACCUUACCAGGGCUUGACAUCCCUUGAACUAUCUAGAGAUAGGUAGGGCCUACGGGACAAGGAGACAGGUGGUGCAUGGUUGUCGUCAGCCCGUGUCGUGAGAUGUUGGGUUAAGUCCCGCAACGAGCGCAACCCUUAUAGCUAGUUGCCAGCAAUAAGAUGGGGACUCUAGCGAGACAGCCGUUGAGAAAACGGAGGAAGGAAAGGAUGACGUCAAAUCAUCAUGCCCCUUAUGCUCUGGGCUACACACGUACUACAAUGGCUACUACAGAGGGAAGCGAAGCCAGGAGGCGGAGCAAAUCUCAAAAAGGUAGUCCCAGUUCAGAUUGUAGGCUGAAACUCGCCUGCA